ACUCCUACGGGAGGCAGCAGUGGGGAAUAUUGCACAAUGGGCGCAAGCCUGAUGCAGCCAUGCCGCGUGUAUGAAGAAGGCCUUCGGGUUGUAAAGUACUUUCAGCGGGGAGGAAGGCGAUAAGGUUAAUAACCUUGUUGAUUGACGUUACCCGCAGAAGAAGCACCGGCUAACUCCGUGCCAGCAGCCGCGGUAAUACGGAGGGUGCAAGCGUUAAUCGGAAUUACUGGGCGUAAAGCGCACGCAGGCGGUCUGUCAAGUCGGAUGUGAAAUCCCCGGGCUCAACCUGGGAACUGCAUUCGAAACUGGCAGGCUAGAGUCUUGUAGAGGGGGGUAGAAUUCCAGGUGUAGCGGUGAAAUGCGUAGAGAUCUGGAGGAAUACCGGUGGCGAAGGCGGCCCCCUGGACAAAGACUGACGCUCAGGUGCGAAAGCGUGGGGAGCAAACAGGAUUAGAAACCCUGGUAGUCCCAUGA
This 474-nucleotide ribosomal RNA is filed under the name uncultured organism. Its description in RNAcentral is "partial 16S ribosomal RNA". It matches the Rfam family "Bacterial small subunit ribosomal RNA", at positions 335 to 800 of the family's 1533-position model. The record is from RNAcentral.